CAAACGGGUGCGGAACACGUACGCAACUUCCCCAAAACUGGUGAAUAGCCCUCCGAAAGGAGGAUUAAUACACCGUAAGAUAAUGAGAUGGCAUCAUUUUAUUAUUAUAGCUCCGGCGGUUUUGGAUGGGCGUGCGCCUGAUUAGGUAGUUGGCGGGGUAACGGCCCACCAAGCCUGCGAUCAGUAACUGGUGUGAGAGCACGACCAGUCACACGGGCACUGAGACACGGGCCCG
This 235-nucleotide ribosomal RNA is filed under the name uncultured bacterium. RNAcentral describes it as "partial 16S ribosomal RNA". It matches the Rfam family "Bacterial small subunit ribosomal RNA", at positions 99 to 334 of the family's 1533-position model. The record is from RNAcentral.